GCGGGCUGCUGCUCGGGAGUGAAAACUGUUUGACAGGAAGGUGAGGCGAGCGAGCAGCAGCGGUAUACAACCGGAGACCCAGCAGCAGAGGAGAGAAGUUACUUCCAACCGUGUCGGCGGGCAGUUGUAUGAAUCGAGGCAGCCUCGAGAGCGACAAAUGACCCGCAGGCGUCAAAGCAACAGGGCGCAGAGCGAGAUGUCCGGGACCGUGCCAGCCUCGAGCAGCAGAAAGCGAGACUAGCACACCGCAGCGACGCGGAAAAUAUUCAGCGGGGAGAGAAUGCGAAUGGUGCGAGGAGGAGGAUACCGAAACCAAACAAAAUGGAAACGAUGUAGCGCCGCUGCGGCAUUUCACGUAGCUAGAAGUCACGUUAGAGUAGAGAGUAGAUAGCUGAGGAGCUAGUGCCCACUCACAUACAUGCAAAGUUAUUCCCCGGAGAGCCAGCAGCGGAGCCGGGGGGCGCCGGAGGAAUCCCGAGAGUUCAUCUGCACAGCGGAAAUCAAAGAUCAAUAAAGAAGAUGCUACGGAGGGGACUCAACCGUUUGCUUGGUGGUGAUGAGAGAAGAGUACACAGUAGGACGAUUUACAUUGGUCAUCGGUCCUGUGCUGCUGAUGAGGCUUUCAUCCCACCCAAGUUCUGUGACAACAGAAUUGUUUCCUCCAAGUACACAGUCUGGAACUUUCUACCAAAGAACCUGUUUGAGCAGUUUAGGAGAAUUGCCAAUUUCUAUUUCCUCAUCAUCUUCCUGGUGCAGGUGAUAGUGGACACCCCCACCAGCCCAGUCACUAGUGGCCUACCUUUAUUUUUUGUGAUUACAGUGACUGCUAUCAAGCAGGGAUAUGAAGACUGGCUACGACACAAGGCUGACAAUGAGGUGAAUAAGUACCCAGUGAAAGUGCUAGAGGACGGCCGGAGGAUACGAAAGGAGAGUGAGAAGAUCAAGGUGGGAGAUGUUGUGGAAGUGGUGGAAGACGAGACGUUUCCCUGUGAUUUAAUACUGCUACAGUCUAGUCGAGAUGACGGCACAUGUUUCGUUACCACAGCAAGUUUGGACGGAGAAUCCAACCAUAAAACACACUACACAGUGCCAGACACGGAGAGGGAUCUGGAAUCUCUCAAUGCCACCAUUGAGUGUGAACAGCCACAGCCUGACCUUUACAAGUUCGUCGGCCGCGUGCACAUCUACAAAAACAGUCAUGAGCCUUCAGUGAGGUCUUUGGGCCCAGAAAAUCUGCUGCUGAAAGGGGCAACUUUGAAGAAUACCCAGAGGAUAUGUGGUGUUGCAGUCUAUACUGGUAUGGAGACAAAGAUGGCACUCAACUAUCAGGGCAAAUCUCAGAAACGGUCUGUUGUGGAAAAGUCUAUCAAUGCCUUCCUUCUGGUUUACCUUUUCAUAUUGGUGAGCAAGGCCUUUGUGUGCACUACACUCAAGUAUGUGUGGCAGAACAAGCCUGGGCAGGAUGAGCCGUGGUACAAUGAGAAAACCCAGAGAGAGAAGGACACCAAUUUGUACCUAAAGAUGUUCACCGACUUCCUGUCCUUCAUGGUGCUCUUCAACUUCAUCAUUCCAGUGUCCAUGUAUGUUACGGUUGAGAUGCAAAAGUUUUUGGGAUCCUUUUUCAUCACGUGGGACAAAGAUUUCUUUGACCCUGAAAUCCAGGAGGGGGCACUGGUCAACACGUCAGACCUCAAUGAGGAGCUUGGACAGGUGGAUUACGUGUUCACAGACAAGACAGGCACACUCACUCAGAAUAACAUGGAGUUCAUAGAGUGCUGCAUCGAUGGUUUCCAGUACAAGUACAGGGAUGCGAGCAGCGAGUUGGAUGGGUUUUGUGUCACAGAUGGACCUGUGAACAAACUACAACAGAAAGCUGGCAGGGACAAGGAAGAGCUGUUUCUGCGUGCCCUCUGUCUUUGUCACACAGUCCAAGUGAAGGAGUCUACAGAGCAGGAUCAGGUCCAGCGGGACGGAACACCAGACCAAGUGGACGGUUCAGGGGAUGGAGAGGUCUUCCAUAUCCCUCAGGUGGAGAAGGGAUUCAUCGCUUCCUCACCUGAUGAGAUUGCUUUGGUGAAGGGUGCCAUGAGGUAUGGCUUCACAUUUCUGGGUCUUGAAAGUAAAACUAUGAAAAUUCUUAACAGGAACAAAGAUGUUGAAAUGUAUGAACUGCUGCAUGUGUUGAACUUUGACCCAGUGAGAAGGCGUAUGAGUGUGAUAGUCAGAUCCAGAUCAGGUGAUACACUGCUUUUCUGUAAGGGAGCAGACUCUUCCAUCUUCCCUCGAGUUAGACAAGACGAGGUUGAAAGGAUACGCAUGCAUGUGGAGCGUAGUGCGACGGAGGGUUAUCGCACACUGUGUGUGGCCUACAAGCACCUCAGCCCAGAAGAGUUCGCCCAUGUUGAUGCAGGAUUGAAGGAAGCCAGAUUGGCUCUUCAGGACAGAGAGGAGAAGCUUAUAGGCGUUUACAACCAAGUGGAGACUGGGAUGAAUCUAAUAGGAGCGACUGCUGUGGAAGAUCGGCUUCAGGAGGAGGCAGCAGAGACUAUGGAAGCUCUGCAGGGAGCCGGUAUGAAGGUUUGGGUCCUAACAGGGGACAAGAUGGAGACCGCAAAGUCCACCUGCUACGCUUGUAGAUUGUUUCAGAGAAACACAGAGCUAUUGGAGCUAACUUUGCGUACUUUGGAGGAUGGAGUGAGGACGCGCGAGGAACGUCUGCAUGAGCUUCUGCUUGAGUAUCAUAAGAAAGCUGUACAGGAUGCACCAGCAGUAAAGGCAGGCGUCACCAGAAGUUGGUCCGCGGCCAAUCAUGAUUAUGGUUUUAUCAUAGAUGGCGCCUCCUUAUCAAUGGUGCUCAACUCAUCCUCCGAAUCUAACUCAAAUCGCUAUGAGAGCCUGUUCCUGCAGAUCUGUCAAAACUGUACAGCUGUGCUCUGCUGCCGCAUGGCCCCUCUGCAGAAGGCACAGAUAGUUAAAAUGGUAAAGAACUCUAAAGGCAGCCCAAUCACCCUUUCCAUUGGAGAUGGAGCCAAUGAUGUCAGCAUGAUUUUGGAAGCUCAUGUUGGGAUUGGAAUUAAAGGCAAAGAGGGUCGGCAAGCUGUGAGGAACAGUGAUUAUGCCAUCCCCAAACUCAAGCAUCUCAAGAAACUUUUGUUGGCGCACGGGCAUCUUUACUAUGUUCGGAUUGCACACCUGGUGCAGUAUUUCUUUUACAAGAAUCUUUGCUUCAUCUUACCGCAGUUUUUGUACCAGUUCUUCUGCGGCUAUUCCCAACAACCCCUGUAUGAUGCGGCCUAUCUGACGAUGUACAACAUCUGCUUCACCUCUAUGCCCAUCCUGGCUUACAGCCUUUUCGAGCAGCACAUUUGCAUUGAGUUUCUCAUGGACAACGCUACCCUCUACAGAGAGAUUGCAAAGAAUGCCAUGUUACGAUGGGGACCUUUCCUCUACUGGACCUUACUCGGAGUCUUCCAUGGCCUGCUUUUCUUCUUUGGAGUUCGAUGUUUGUUCAGUAACCCAGCCCUGCAGGAUAAUGGCCAGGUUUUUGGAAAUUGGUCGUACGGAACGAUUGUAUUCACUGUCCUUGUCUUCACUGUGACACUAAAGCUGGCUCUGGACACACGGCACUGGACAUGGAUCAACCACUUUGUAAUAUGGGGCUCUCUGGCCUUCUAUGUAUUUUUCAGCUUCUUCUGGGGAGGAAUAAUAUGGCCUUUCCUAAGACAGCAGCGUUUGUACUUUGUGUUUGCCAACAUGCUGAGCUCGGUGUCCGCCUGGCUGGUCAUCAUCCUGCUCAUCCUCGUCAGCCUACUGCCAGAGAUCCUGCUUGGGGUUCUCCGCAAGCCCCGUGGGCCUCACGCUCGACAGAUGAAACAUCGCCUUCCUUCCUCGGGGACUUCUACUAUCUUCAUGUUGUCACAGACCGCUAGCACUCACAGCUUCUCAUGGAGUGACUGAGAAGAAGCGGGUUCAGUCGAGCGCUGGGGGCCUCCAGUCUCCCAGGUCUUCAGCCAGGCCCCUGCUCAUGAGAACCUUUUCUGAUGAGUCCAAUACUGUCAUUUAAACAGGUACCAGCGUACUUUCAGGCUAUUCAAGACAAUCAAUGACUUCCCCCAGUCAACGUCCAGCAGUUCUUUUCUCUAACUCUGAGUCUUAACAAGGAAAUCAAAGACAUGAUGGCGUACAGGCCUUAUUCAACUAGUGUGCUCUGAUGUUUUGUGUAGGCUGAUAUAGGCUGGCUGAAGAGAUGCACUUUUCCUGUCACACCUUUUGUUAAAAUAAUCAUUCGGUGCAUUCAUUUAACGGGAAUGCAUCCCAAGGCACAGUUUUUGUACGGACACAUGCUCCUUUCAGCCUCCCUUUUGAUGCCCGGCUAUAUUUCCUUCUGCAUGUGCUUCAUGAAACCCACUUUUAAGUUGUUUUUCUUUUCCUUUUCUUUAUUCAUGCCAUUUUUCUAAGGUGUGUCAGUAUUUGUCUUAUCUGGCAGUGUGAAAAAAAAACAGAGAUGGUCUGUUGUCACUUCCUAAUUUGUGAUUUCCCUGUAUUAUUUGUGGUGCUGUGGUUUAGUAGUGGUUUUUUCUCUCUCGUAUGCACAUCCAAACUUGUGUUGGUAGCUGUUUGCUUACUUUUACGGCCAAUAUUGGAGGCACUUGUGUUGCGCUUGAGCUCAGUGCAUGGUGUAAUGUUUGUGUAACCUCAACCCAAUUGCUGCUGUAUUACCGGGGGUGGACAACAAAAUGAAUACGGCAUAAACACAACAAUUAAAUCGUAUUUACGACAUUUUUUGAUUGAAAUGAAUUACAAAGUAUUGGUAAAAACUGCAUAGUUUCCAACAAAACACUUAUUGUGCACCUCGUUGUGCACCUGUAUUUUGUUAAAUGCUUCCAAACUGUUAGUUUUUUUUUUUUGUCUUCCCCCUGGAUAAUACGCUAUGGAGAAUGGACGCACUAUUCACUGGGGUCACUGGGGUCACUGACUGCCUCACAGCAGCACCGGGCUGUUUGAACCAGCUGUCACUGUUUAAUCUGGAUUUCUAUUCUCCCUAUAGCUGUCAGAUGGUGACCUCCCACAAACGUCCAGACUGCUGCCGUCACACCACUGUCCUACAAGCACCUGAAGGAGCACGAGUAAAAGGCAGCGGGGGACACGGCAGCGGCAUCAGUUUCACGGCCAUUUCCACUCUGGUUAGAAGAAUCUGAAAGGAUGUGAAGAAGUGGAGGAGGAAGAUGAGGGGAAAAAAAGAUGUGGUUAAGAAGUCUCUUUGACUUGUGUAGUUGUGAUCCAUUCUCUGGCCAGUCCCCAACCACAUGCAUGGCUGUGCAGCAGAGCCCUGCAUUAUUUUAUAGAAUAUCUACCUAAACGACAGGCAUGAGCUCUUUCUUUCACUUUUUUAAAAAUAUUUUUUUUUUAAACUGGCUUCCAAAUGAAUGCAUACAUGGCUGUUUUUGUUUCUACAAGCGGUUGUAACGGCCCCUCCCAAGAAAGGUACAUUUGCAUGAAAGAAGGCUCAAAAGAACAAUGAAUUAGUCACUAUAUUCUACAAACCUUCUUUUAUUUUGUUGUUAAUAGCUGUACUUUAUACUUUGAUUUUUACAUUUCUCAACUUUUUUUUUUAAAUGGCCUCACACAUUUUUAGAAAAUACGCUCAUCUACAGACCUGAAUCAGCUGAGGUGCAAAGUUACGAAAUGUGAUGUUGAGUGCAGCUCAAAGUAGCACGCAGACUGUUUAAACAGUUUUUGAUUUAUAGAUAGUUACGUUAUUCUUUAAUUCCAUUGAUAAAUCUACAAUCUAUAUAUUAAAAACCAAGGCAUAAGAGAGAUUAUUGGAUGCCAUAAUACCACUCGCUCCAAAAAGUGUGUAUGUUUGUGUGUGUUUGUCAGAUCGAGUGAUAGAUUAGAGACUUUAAGAACUUUAUUCCGGCAAUUAAAAAUUGCUUGGAGAAUUACCUAAAUCUUCCAGCCUCUGAGAUAAUUUAGACCAAUGUGAAAGAAAUCUAAUAUAUGUGCUGUACUGUAUAUAGUAAGAGACGUAUAUUAGCACAUGCUCAAAGCCAAAAAGAUGAAUGCAGUGCGAUCAGAUUGCGUCCACACAAGUGUGACCUGGAAGUUACAGAUCUGUGUGUUAGAUGAACAUGCAUAAACGUGCUGGAUGAGAAUAGCCACAAAUGCCUGUGUGUAAUGAAGACCAGAAUUACUUGAACCUAGAGGAUAUAGAUCGGUUAUACAUUUUCUGCACUAUUUAAAAACAAAAAACAAAAAAAAAAUGGUUUCUUUAUUAUGACUUUGAUCACUAAGUCACAUUAAUAUAUGCCUGCACACAUACGCACAUGUUUGAUGACAAGAGAUAACCAACACAUACUGUACGCGUAUGUACACAUGCACUAAAGCCAUUGGGUAUUUAUAUUCAUUAUCUUGUGUCCAUAUUUUUCGUCUCUUAAGCUGAAGUUGGAAUUUAACAUGACCCAACUCCAGAAACGUGAUGGCUCAAGUCACUGUGAGACCCUACUUUGUUUCUGGUCACGUCUACUGACCUACAGGUUGAUGUUUUGGACUUUCUGGCCCUUCGUUCCUUCUUUAAAUUCUUUGGUAUAUCGCUUCAUACAUUCCAUUAAGACAUAACAUGAUUUCAGACACUUUUAGAUACUCUUUUGGAAUAUCUUUUUGUCUUUUCCCCCCCAUGAGCCUAUAUUAUCUACUUACCAUAUUUAUUGUUAAGUGUAAUUUUACUCACAAAUGUUAUAUUUUUCUUACAUAAAUCUUUUUUAUUGUGGAGAAUGUUCAGCUUUGUGCCGUCUGAUUUAGCCGGUUGCGCUCCUCCCCUGAUGUUACCCAAACCCGUUUUCAUGGCUACAAAGGCGGGCAGCCCCUUCACCACAUACACACAACUUCCCAAGAUUGACUUCAGAACAAAUUUGACCUCUUUUGGCAGAUGAACUCCUGCUAAAUACUUGCUACUAAUUGCCGGUUAAAACAGGUUUUGAUUUUGGAAAGGAAAGGGUCAGUGAGAGGGGGCUGCCUCCUUUUGUUAACUCGUCAAAAUCCUUUAAGUGAUAUCAGAAAUGCUAUUUUCAGAGCUUAAAAUAUGUUUGAAUCUAAUGUUUUGCUUGUUUAAAUGAAACAUUAAAUGAAUGGAUUGUAUUUUUAAUGCAACUUUUUUCCUGCCACUUUUGUAAGAAAAAAAAAAGAAUAAAAAUCCAACGAGA
This is an RNA transcript of Cololabis saira (Pacific saury), 7202 nucleotides long. It is a transcript of the gene named ATPase phospholipid transporting 11C, with no coding region annotated. The record is from RefSeq and is a predicted model, not a curated record. The transcript is spliced from 31 exons. NCBI's taxonomy places the organism in Eukaryota, Metazoa, Chordata, Actinopteri, Beloniformes, Belonidae.